UACGUAGGGCGCAAGCGUUGUCCGGAAUUAUUGGGCGUAAAGAGCUCGUAGGUGGCGUGUCGCGUCUGCCGUGAAAGCCCAUGGCUUAACUGUGGGUCUGCGGUGGAUACGGGCAGGCUGGAGGCUGGUAGGGGCAAGCGGAAUUCCUGGUGUAGCGGUGAAAUGCGCAGAUAUCGGGAGGAACACCAAUGGCGAAGGCAGCUCACUGGCCCGGUACUGACGCUGAGGAGCGAAAGCGUGGGGAGCGAACAGG
RNAcentral lists this ribosomal RNA (253 nucleotides) under uncultured bacterium. RNAcentral's name for it is "partial 16S ribosomal RNA". It matches the Rfam family "Bacterial small subunit ribosomal RNA", at positions 524 to 776 of the family's 1533-position model. The record is from RNAcentral.